UCCUUGUAAUGUCUCGCAAGCGCCUCCG
This 28-nucleotide small RNA is filed under the name Bombyx mori (domestic silkworm). Its description in RNAcentral is "ovarian small RNA-28083". Lineage: Eukaryota; Metazoa; Arthropoda; Insecta; Lepidoptera; Bombycidae. The record is from RNAcentral.